RNAcentral lists this long non-coding RNA (2422 nucleotides) under Mus musculus (house mouse). Its description in RNAcentral is "long non-coding RNA chr10:7818371-7820793". The record is from RNAcentral. Lineage: Eukaryota; Metazoa; Chordata; Mammalia; Rodentia; Muridae.
AUAUAAUUUGUGGUAUGUGUGUAUGGAGGCCAGAGGUUCAAGUUAAGUGUCUUCCUCUCUUCUACUCUAUCUUGUCUUCUUUGAAACAGCAUCUCCACCUGAGCUCAGAGCUCACUGAUGGGCUGAUCUGUUUGUCAUUGUUCCAGCCGUGCUAGGAUCCCAGGCACAUGCCACCUCACCUAACAUUUCAUAUGGGAUCUGUGGAUCUGAGCUCAGACCAUUGUCCUGGUAUGCAAGGACUUUGUGACUGAGCCAUCUCCCUAACCUUUACUUUCUGAUUACUUAAUUAAGACUUUACAGUGGCAUGCAGUAAAAAGGAAGAAAUGCUGUUAGAAGUUUUUUGGUUUUUUGUUUUAUAACCUAAAGGCUGAAGAGAUGGCUCAUCAGGUAAAAAUCACUUGCCAUGCAAAUCUAAUGACUUGAGUUCAGUCCCUGGAACCCCCUUUAAAAAGAAAACCCAAACGACUUGCUUUUCUGCCGCACACCUGUGGUCUCUGUCCUUCUGUGCUGAGGUGGGAGUAGAGACAGGAAAAUCCCCAGAAACUGGAGGACCGGCAUGGAGGGUGGGGCGCCAACCUAGCAGAAAGGGUGCCAGAGCAGACCCAGCCUUGGCAGAGUGGAAGGAAAUGGCCCCCUGAGAGUUGUCCUCUGACACACACACACACACACACACACACACACACACACACACACACACACACCAUUAACUCUUAAAAUAAUUUAUGGAGAUUGUAACUAUAAAAGUUUUAGAUUCUAAAAUACAUUUUUCUAACCCUUUCCCUGUGAGUACAUUAAAGUAAGUCUUUUAGAUUUCAGUUUGAUUUGAUAAUGUAGCUAUAUGAAUUCCUUUCCUUUGUAAGAAAGCUCAGCUAUUUUCUAUUUCAGUUUCAAAGAUAUAAUUACUAACGGGAAUUUCAGUACAAGCUGUAAGUGUAGCUAAGAUUUUCCUAUGUGCUGCUGUUUGCUGGGAGAAUUCGGUUUCUGUUUCUUUAAAUUGUUGCUUGUUAAAUGGCAGCCUUGCUAUUCAGUUCAGAAACUCGGCUUUUUAAUUUCCACCUCUGCCUGCGUUCCAUAGGUGCUCUUAGUUCCACAGGUGCUCUUAGUUCCAUAGGUGGUCUUAGUUCCAUAGGUGGUCUGUGCUGUUGGGGCUUUGGAUUUUGCUAGGUCACAGGAACUUGAGUAGGAUCUAGUGAAGGAGUCAAAAUGGGUCUCAGUUCUCCAAAUAGCCUUGUUUUGGGGGUCGAGUAGCCUUGCCAAGUAACUUUCUAAUAUGCCUGCCUCUGCACCGCCAGCCCAGAUAUACCAUGUUAUUCUCUGACAGCACACACUGUUUCCUGUCACUUUUAAGGAUAGGUUAUUUUUCUUUGUCUGAGAUCAGAGACUUACUGUGUAGCCUUGGCUGCCCUUGAGCUUGCUGUGUAUAUCUGACUAGUCUUAAACUCCUAGAGAUCCACUUAUCUCAGCCUCCAAAGUCACCAUGCACUGCCUUUAAUGUCUAACAUAUUAAGUAAGAGUGUCAACACAUCGUGUAUCAACUCAUAGACCAUAGAAAAUGUAUUAGAAGAUAUAGAGUGACAACAUUAUAAAACACUUUGAAAUCAACCAGGGCCAGAACCAGGGCCAGCGAAUAGUAGAAGUGUGUGUGUAGUAUGCAAGAGGCCCUGGGUUUGAUCCCCAACACAGUUUUUUUUUUUUUUUUUUUUUUUUUUAAAGUUGGUUUUGUUUUAUUUUUUAAUGAGCCAGGCUUGGCAACACGGGCCUCUAAUUGCAGCUACUAGGAGGUUGAGAUAGGGGAUCAGUAGUUCAGGGCUUGCCUGGAUUGCAGAGUGAGUUGAAGACCAGCCUGGAAGGGAUUGUGGGGCUGUACAGGCCAACAUUUGCAGUAUUUGCAGUGACUGUUUUCAUUCUAGCCUGACUGACACACCUAGAUCUCUUCCUACUCUGUCCUUUGCGUGAUACCGUCUAUGUAGACUUAGUAGGGGACUUUAGUAGUUCCCCUGCAGUUCCGUGAUAGAGCCUCAGUUUGGGGAAGUGGGCAAUGAGAACUGGAGGAUAGCUUCAUAUUAUAAGAACACUGGGCUUUGCGCUUGGGCUGGGGGUGUCUUGGAAUACUUCCCUGCCUUGUGUGAAGCUCUGGGCUCGUUUCACAGGCUCCAUUAGGAAAAAAAAAAACAGACCUGGUCAGUGUUUAUGUGGCUGCUUCAGCUCCAUGGUUUUGGGACUGAUCUUUGAGGUCAACUGAAAUAGAUGUAAACCAAUUAGACCUUUAAAUGUUAACUCUUGUGAGCUAUUUACUUUAAUACAGUUUAUGAGAUUCUAGUAUUAGUGGUAGUACAUACACUGCAACCAUUAGGGCAGGUGACUGAAAGAAGCUGAGGAUAUGAAAUGAAUGAGUUUAGCUGAGCCUGUCCCCCACCCCCUC